RNAcentral lists this ribosomal RNA (1418 nucleotides) under Lactiplantibacillus plantarum. Its description in RNAcentral is "bacterial SSU rRNA". It matches the Rfam family "Bacterial small subunit ribosomal RNA". The record is from RNAcentral. Lineage: Bacteria; Bacillati; Bacillota; Bacilli; Lactobacillales; Lactobacillaceae.
UCGACGAACUCUGGUAUUGAUUGGUGCUUGCAUCAUGAUUUACAUUUGAGUGAGUGGCGAACUGGUGAGUAACACGUGGGAAACCUGCCCAGAAGCGGGGGAUAACACCUGGAAACAGAUGCUAAUACCGCAUAACAACUUGGACCGCAUGGUCCGAGUUUGAAAGAUGGCUUCGGCUAUCACUUUUGGAUGGUCCCGCGGCGUAUUAGCUAGAUGGUGGGGUAACGGCUCACCAUGGCAAUGAUACGUAGCCGACCUGAGAGGGUAAUCGGCCACAUUGGGACUGAGACACGGCCCAAACUCCUACGGGAGGCAGCAGUAGGGAAUCUUCCACAAUGGACGAAAGUCUGAUGGAGCAACGCCGCGUGAGUGAAGAAGGGUUUCGGCUCGUAAAACUCUGUUGUUAAAGAAGAACAUAUCUGAGAGUAACUGUUCAGGUAUUGACGGUAUUUAACCAGAAAGCCACGGCUAACUACGUGCCAGCAGCCGCGGUAAUACGUAGGUGGCAAGCGUUGUCCGGAUUUAUUGGGCGUAAAGCGAGCGCAGGCGGUUUUUUAAGUCUGAUGUGAAAGCCUUCGGCUCAACCGAAGAAGUGCAUCGGAAACUGGGAAACUUGAGUGCAGAAGAGGACAGUGGAACUCCAUGUGUAGCGGUGAAAUGCGUAGAUAUAUGGAAGAACACCAGUGGCGAAGGCGGCUGUCUGGUCUGUAACUGACGCUGAGGCUCGAAAGUAUGGGUAGCAAACAGGAUUAGAUACCCUGGUAGUCCAUACCGUAAACGAUGAAUGCUAAGUGUUGGAGGGUUUCCGCCCUUCAGUGCUGCAGCUAACGCAUUAAGCAUUCCGCCUGGGGAGUACGGCCGCAAGGCUGAAACUCAAAGGAAUUGACGGGGGCCCGCACAAGCGGUGGAGCAUGUGGUUUAAUUCGAAGCUACGCGAAGAACCUUACCAGGUCUUGACAUACUAUGCAAAUCUAAGAGAUUAGACGUUCCCUUCGGGGACAUGGAUACAGGUGGUGCAUGGUUGUCGUCAGCUCGUGUCGUGAGAUGUUGGGUUAAGUCCCGCAACGAGCGCAACCCUUAUUAUCAGUUGCCAGCAUUAAGUUGGGCACUCUGGUGAGACUGCCGGUGACAAACCGGAGGAAGGUGGGGAUGACGUCAAAUCAUCAUGCCCCUUAUGACCUGGGCUACACACGUGCUACAAUGGAUGGUACAACGAGUUGCGAACUCGCGAGAGUAAGCUAAUCUCUUAAAGCCAUUCUCAGUUCGGAUUGUAGGCUGCAACUCGCCUACAUGAAGUCGGAAUCGCUAGUAAUCGCGGAUCAGCAUGCCGCGGUGAAUACGUUCCCGGGCCUUGUACACACCGCCCGUCACACCAUGAGAGUUUGUAACACCCAAAGUCGGUGGGGUAACCUUUUAGA